AGGGCUUCGGCCCCAGUAAAGCGGCGCACGGGUGAGUAACACGUAGGUAAUCUACCCCCAGGCGGGGGAUAACCUUCCGAAAGGAGGGCUAAUACCGCAUAAGACCACGACCUCGAAAGGGGAUGAGGUCAAAGCCGGCCUCUUCAUGAAAGCUGGCACCAGGGGAUGAGCCUGCGGCCCAUCAGCUAGUUGGUAGGGUAAUGGCCUACCAAGGCUAAGACGGGUAGCUGGUCUGAGAGGAUGAUCAGCCACACUGGAACUGAGACACGGUCCAGACUCCUACGGGAGGCAGCAGUGGGGAAUCUUGCGCAAUGGGCGAAAGCCUGACGCAGCGACGCCGCGUGAGUGAUGAAGGCCCUCGGG
This 363-nucleotide ribosomal RNA is filed under the name uncultured bacterium. Its description in RNAcentral is "bacterial SSU rRNA". It matches the Rfam family "Bacterial small subunit ribosomal RNA", at positions 74 to 422 of the family's 1533-position model. The record is from RNAcentral.